UCAGAUUGAAUAAAAGAAUCUCUUUGACUUCUUCUUUUCUGUUCUUGUAUCUUUCUUCAUGUAUUAGUUUUCUCCUUCAUAUUCGAGAGGAGCCUCUGUUUAGUUUUAUGGUUUACAAAAACUUCUAAGACUUUGUUUGUAUGAAUAGGACAUCUAAGGAUUGUGUAAUGUAAUUAAUGUAGUAGCUUGAUGUUUGUAUGAAAUUUGGAAUAUCUAAGAAUGUAAAAAAAGUUUCUAUUUUUGCUAUUUUGAUAAUCAUAUUUUUUCAUAUCAGCAUAUCAAUUAUAUAUAUAGAGAGAUAGAAUCUAAUUCUGUAUGAUAUAUAUAUCAAGUGCUAUUCUUGCUCAGAUUCUUUUAAUUACAUGGCACCUAAUUCUCUAUCAUAUUUUUUACUCCUCUUUGAUCUUUGUCUUUUCCACUCGUUAAUUUCAUUAUUGUUCAUUGAUUCUUCCAAAUGCAUAUAUCCAACUUUUGCAAAGCAGGCUAUCAACAUCUCCUAACCGGUCGUAUAUUGUGUGUGCCAAUUUCCAUUUAAUUAAUAAACCCGUGCAUUUCAUAACCAUAAAAAAUAAGGAAAAUGAUACUUUGACACCUUCUGGGUGACAAAAUUUUUACACCAAUGACGUGUCAGCUUCUCAUUGGUUCACCUUUUUGAAAAAAAAAAAAUUUAAAUGACGUGGAUUAGUUGAGGGCACGCGCAGAAAAUGAAAGCAAACAAUUUCCCAAAUUCAAAUUCAUUUUCAGAUUGCGAGAAUGAAACCUAGAGAGAGAAACUCUCCCUCCCAACGACCAAAGCCCCUUCACGACUCCACCGUUGUUCGCCGUUGAACGGCCAUCGGAGGUCCACCCAGAGGCAGCACCGUCGAUCAUCUUCGUGUCUCUUCCCACCG
This 890-nucleotide long non-coding RNA is filed under the name Vigna radiata. RNAcentral's name for it is "long non-coding RNA (VRAD_LNC003706)". The record is from RNAcentral. Lineage: Eukaryota; Viridiplantae; Streptophyta; Magnoliopsida; Fabales; Fabaceae.